GUAGGUGGCAAGCGUUGUCCGGAAUUAUUGGGGCGUAAAGCGCGCGCAGGCGGUUCUUUAAGUCUGAUGUGAAAGCCCACGGCUCAACCGUGGAGGGUCAUUGGAAACUGGAGAACUCGAGUACAGAAGAGGAAAGCGGAAUUCCACGUGUAGCGGUGAAAUGCGUAGAGAUGUGGAGGAACACCAGUGGCGAAGGCGGCUUUCUGGUCUGUAACUGACGCUGAGGCGCGAAAGCGUGGGGAGCAAACAGGAUUAGAUACCCUGGUAGUCCACGCCGUAAACGAUGAGUGCUAAGUGUUAGGGGGUUUCCGCCCCUUAGUGCUGCAGCUAACGCAUUAAGCACUCCGCCUGGGGAGUACGGCCGCAAAGGCUG
This 373-nucleotide ribosomal RNA is filed under the name uncultured organism. RNAcentral describes it as "partial 16S ribosomal RNA". It matches the Rfam family "Bacterial small subunit ribosomal RNA", at positions 527 to 896 of the family's 1533-position model. The record is from RNAcentral.